ACGCGAGCCAGCUGGCAUUCUCAAGGUUCACCGAUUGCCUCGCCCUUCCUUGCGCCAUUCCCACUGGCGACGCGGCGUUUGGCGCAGCCCGGAGGCAAGGACUGGGGAGAAGAACCCGAUUCCAAGCACAAUGCCACGGCCGACCCGCUUCCUCUUGGCGUUGGUGGUGCUCAGUGCGGCGGCCGCGUGGGUGGGGGACGCCGCGCCGCUGAAGGAGGAGGGGGGGGCGAAGGAGCUCAGUGUGAAGUGUAUCUUAUGUAGUCCAGGCUGUCGGCCAUGCUACAAGCCUGACCAUAAUAACGACUGUCGCCCUAUAUUCAACUGCACUCCUUGACGUGGAACUUCCCUCGUCAAAAGCAGCGUCUGUGGGUGCCUGGCAGCUGGAUUCAAUAAAUAUAUUCUUUAGAAGAGUCAGUAAUGAAUUUAUAUAAAAAAGGAAGCAGAAGAAGGAGAGGCGGUAAAUGGAGAGUUCAUGUAUAAGUAGUGCAAUAAAUUUGUUAAGAGAUAAUA
This is a non-coding RNA of Penaeus vannamei (Pacific white shrimp), 510 nucleotides long. The record is from RefSeq and is a predicted model, not a curated record. NCBI's taxonomy places the organism in Eukaryota, Metazoa, Arthropoda, Malacostraca, Decapoda, Penaeidae.